This is a long non-coding RNA of Melopsittacus undulatus (budgerigar), 5545 nucleotides long. RefSeq lists it as uncharacterized. NCBI's taxonomy places the organism in Eukaryota, Metazoa, Chordata, Aves, Psittaciformes, Psittaculidae. The record is from RefSeq and is a predicted model, not a curated record. The transcript is spliced from 8 exons.
UGCUUAUAUUAAUUACAUUUUUUCAUUACCCAUCAAGUUUUCUACAGGCUUGUGUAUUAUUACUGUAAAAUGUAAUGAAACAGAGAAGGAAAAAAGAAUGGACUUCUGGGAAAUUUUCCAAUUCUUGAAAUGCAAUGUUAAUUGAGUGCUAUUUUUAGGUCAUCACAGGCAGAGCUGAACCCAUUGCCAUCAGUGCACAGAAUGGGGACAGUCCAGGUGCAGCACAGACUGGGUGAGGGUAUCGGUUUCUACUGAUGGAGGAAAAAGGAGAGAAAGUAACUCCCCAGAGAGCUGUGUUGGGAAUGGACUGGAGAUUUAAACCCUAACUCAGAGCAGGAGAAAUGAGGACCCAUUAAUUCUUAUGAAAAAAAAAAAAAAAGCCAUUUCAAGCCAAAGCCCUAACAUAAAUGAAUUUGGCAUGUUCAGGAGUGGACCAUCACUUCCAUGAUGAGAUCAAUGGAUACAAUUUAAACUUUGCAGCCCUGUCCUUCUGGAUUGCUUUUGGAACCACAAGCACUUUACAGAGCACUACUCUGCAAACUCUGCUCCUUUGGGUAGCUGUGGAAUGAAAAGGAAGGAAAACAUACUACAACCCUCAACUGACAGCAAAAGUGCCAUAAGCAGUGAUGUGAUAGCCUGGAUGCUAGAAGAUGCUUGAUACAUUUAAGACUGCUGCCAUUCUCCUGUACUUCUAUGAGAGAUACCAUUGACCUGCACCUUUGCCUUGAGUCACCAAUUUAAAGACAACUACUGCUUAAUGGGGCACACAAAAUGAAUUAUUAGUCUUGGUUCUGGCCUAAGUGUCUGGAGACUCAGACCUUCACUGGCCCCAUGCAGAAGGCCAAGGACUGACAGAAGCACCAGCAAAAGAGAAGUCCCAAGAGGUCAAGGGAGGGGGCAUUGCAGACUAAUAAACUCUGCUACUAGGAGGAGAACUUUGUUCAACUUCUGAUGCCAAGAAGGACAGCCUGGACUGGCAGGUACUUAGCACUUCUGAAAUGCAAGCUCAAGGCAGGCUUUGUUGAACGUCUAAACUUGGGGAAGUCUUUCUGGAAACAUGAUGGAAAAUACUGGCUCAAAUAUUGCUGGAGAAUGGAGAUCAAGCACAUCCAGGAGAAGGGUGACUGGUUGGGAUCGCAUCCGGGAAGCACCACACUAACUCAAGAAUGAGCUGGUUAGAGAAGAAACUGUGCUUUGCUAGUCAUGGCAUGAGAAGGGGGUCCCAGAAAGCACAAAACAUAGAUCCAAGUAAAACAUCUCCCCCAAAACUACUUUGUUGGAACUUUCCCCUUUAAAUUAUUUUGUCUUAUUUUCCCCCUUCUGGUCUCUCUCACAAGCACGGAGGCCCGGUGGCUCUGCUUAAAUAACACAUCUACAGUUUUGCAAUAUCUGUUUGAACUAUAGCAAUUAAAUGGAAAAUAGAAAAAUCAGCUCAGCAUCCUGUUUGGAUGUAAUUAAAGGUAUAAUCUGUUCCAUUUGAAUACUUCAGUGCUUACCCUUCUUAAAACAACAAAUAAGAAUAGGAGCUCAUUUGCAAUAUGGGGUUUUUUUCUCCAAGCCAGCUAAAAAGACUGAACUGAUGAAGCAGGAAUAAUUUUUAAGUGUGGCAUAAGCACAAAAAUACCAACUGCAGCUUUUGAGUGGCUGCUGCAGAUCCCACAUCUGAGGGGAGUUCAGUAUAAGCUUUAUGGUAAAACAUCUUUCACUGCUUGGUAUCAGCGUCUUGGUAUGGCUGCUGUAAUUACCUGUCGAAUGCAUCAGCCAAGUACAUCAGUGGAAUGAAUAUCAGAGGAUACCCAAAAAUACAGAAGGGGGAUGUGUAUCAGCUCAGCCUGUUUGGGGCUGUUUGACCUGCAGGUCUUUUCCUAACAAUAAAAGACAAAUAUCACAUUCAUCGCCCCUUUGUUUUCUGUAGGCAGCUGAUGAUUUUACAGCAUAAAAUCAGCUUAUUAAUGGCUGGCUUAUGAAUUUUAGCUGGGGCUUUUUUUCCUCCUAUUGGACAUUUCUCUACUGCUCAAAGAAAUUGAAGUCAGGUGUAAAGUUAAUAUCUGCCUUGUUCAUUUAUUCAUAUUGUAAGCAAUCAAGAUUUUCCCAAAUCACAGGGCAAUCUCUCACCUUCUGAGAAUUAAUAUAGGCCCUGUUCUCUCAGUUUAACAAACCAACUGGCAUAAGUUCAAUGGAACCUAUGAUUAUUCUGAGAGGUUAUGGCAAACCACAGAAGUUGUUAGUGAAAAGCUUGCUUGUAAGAUCCCCUAAGAGGAAAAGUAUAUGGAUAUUCUAAAAUGUAAUAGUGUAUUCCAACACUAUGAGACAGGAACAUCAGCUGGAACCUGCUGCACACGGAGAGCUUCAGCUUGCCCAGCAACCACCACUCCUGGAAGGGCAAAGGACACGAGGAGCACCAGAGGGGACUGCGUGUUGCUGCAGAGAAAGGCAGCAGUGCAGGUUCUUGACAGCAGGGGCUCCUUCCCAUGCUGCUCCCUGUGUUCAGCUGCUCGCUCCCUUCCUCCUUCCUUCAUGGGCACUUCACUGGUUCCAGGACCCAACCAGACAGAGCAAUGCUUCUCCUAAUUUUCACUACCAAGAAGAGCAGAUGGGAGGGGAGAAAGAAGAAAAUAGCAAAGAGGAAAGAGAGAGAUGACACCAGUAAACAAGAAGUGCACUGUCUGAUAACAAAUCGUACAGUGAAUAAGGACAGACGCUGCAGACAAGCGUUUGCUAUGAACACUGCCAACUGGGGGAAAAUUUGCACUCAGAAGAGGUGGUAACACUGCUGCAAACAAGAACUACUACAGGAACACUACGAGUGCAGCAGAGAGAGUCCCUUCACGUGGAACAGCGCGCGGGGCAUCACGCACAGUGAGUCUGCGCUCUGCAGGCAGGCGGGACUGAGGUCAGAGAACACAGACUGCUCUCACAUGGCACAGCAAGCAAUGGGGAGUUACACCUGAUGUCCGUAAAUGGCCCCAGGGAGACAAAAGACGGCAACAGCCACCAAAAUUGGGGCACAAAACCCCUUCUGCCUGCGCCAGUCACCCACAGGAUUAACCUGCAAACUGUAUGGACACAACAUCAAGUCCCUGUCACCUCCACCUCUGCAACAGAAAUGGGGGUAAUGACAGGAGUCUCUCCUGAAUUUAAUAAACCCCUGUGCAUGUUCUGCUGUGUCUGUAAUCUCCAGUGGUAGAAUAACCUGGAGACUGAUUUAUCUUCAAUGUUACAGCCAACACUGUCAUAGUGGAAUCAUUUAGUGGCCCUGAAACACAGCUUUCCGGAAAACACCUUGGACAUACACAUCUUCACACUGUUAAAAAGCCCACCCCCCCCAACUGUUGGCACCUGUCCCUGCAACUGCCAAAGUUCCAAAAACUGGGAAUAUCUAUGAAUUACCAACCUGUCUCGUCACCUGUAUUUCAGUUUUCUGGGGUUCAGGUGCUCUGCAACUCCCCUUUGAGAAGUGGCAGAAUUUACACCAUUUUCUAGAGAAAUCAAAAUAUAAAGACCCCCAAACUAUAACCUCUCCCUCCCAGCCUUAUCCCCAAUACCCGGCCACCUGCCACAGCACUGGCUGUAGCAAUGCCAUUACCUAAUAAAAACUUCUCACUAUUUUCUCUUCAUUUAGCUUCUAUCAGUCAGGUGUCUGCAGUUGUGAGCUCUGCAAACCCAGUCCAGUUUUACUUCUCUCUCCCAUGUUCUGUGUUCCUCAUCAUGUCUACUGCUUUUACUGCAACUAAAUCAUUUUUAUGUUUUGUGAAGGCAUAGUAAGAAACUGAUAAAACUAAAUGACAAUUUAGACACCUAUUUGAAGUUACAUUAAACUUUACAUUCGUAGAGGACAAGUGGAUAAACCACUCUCGGCAUGGUAAACCUUUUACUGCGGUGUAUAAAGAUGAAUGGUUUUACCUCUAUUUUGAAAUGGGAUAACUAUAAAUAUUCAUUUACUAGAUUCACUGCUGGCAAGGCUGCAUCACAGAUUUGUUUCAUUAAAAUUCACAACAGUAUAAAUCUAUGAAUCUUUAACUGUAUUUGUACUUCCUUGAGAAGAUGCUGCACAUUCUCCUCCAAUCUUAAUUAUCUUUGUUCUGCCUAAUGAUACAGGACUUUUGUACUCAACUCUCUCAUCACCUCCAUUGACAAAUUAAGUAAAUAGAAAAGGCCCACGUUUUAUUUUGCUGUAAUUACAUUCCCUGGGUAAGACUUGAAAGAAUACUUAAAAUUAAUCAGUAAAUUUAUGCACAGAGAAAAAAAAAUAAAGCAAACACCGAGACUGAAAUGGAGCAACACAACAACAACAAAAUCACAGACAUUACCAACCGGUUUGUGUUUUCUUGGACCUGUUUCCCCAUGAACUAAAAGCACUAUGAAAUACUCUGUACAUUGCAGACUGAGCAGCCCAGCAUUUGUCCCAGAUUUUUUUAAUCUCCCAAAUUCCUAUUUGCAGAUAAAUGUUAUUUUUUGUGCUCUGUACAGACAUUAAUGAAGUUCCUAUUGUAAAUCUAUAAAGAAUUACCAACUGAAGUGUGCAGUUUUUGUUUCAUUGCAAUAACUCAGUGCUGUGUGAUUGCCUGGGUUAAUGAUGAAAAAGUCAAAUAUACUAUCAGAGCUGAUGGAAAAAUCUAUCACCAAUCUGAAAUUAAAAUUCAUCUGUGGUCAAUAAGAUUUAAUAUCCAUGCAAGUGGCGCUGUAAAGAGUAAAUGAAUCAAUGUCAUCAAUACAUAAUCAGUAUGAAAUAUGAUGUGAAUAAAAUUAUGUGCAAGAGUCAUACAUUCACUCUUUUCUGGACCAGGGUGGAAUGAACUGUCUCUUAACUCAAGGUUGACAGUAAUUGUUACAAAUUAGGCACAGCAGUUAUCAAAAUGCACUCACUUGCAUAGCUUUAGGACUUAUUAAGGAGAUUAAAAUAGAUCUAAAACUAUCUAGUUUCAGAGUUACAGGACAACUGUUGAUCAGGGAUUUUUUCUUCUUCUCCUCUCUCUGACUUGUACAAUCAUUAUUUACUCAUUUAGCUAGAAAGCAGGAGCCUAUCAACCACUGAGAUACACAAUCUCUAGUUGAGCUAUUAGCGUUAGGGAGCGAUAAGAAAAGCACACUUUGGUUUUUAAACCAGAGUUGUAACACACAAAACAGACGAGAAAAUACUCCUGAAAAAGUACCCCAGGAUGCUCCCUCAGCUAAACCCCUGAACAGUGAAGUGAAAUACACUGGUUCAGUUCAGGAGCCCUUCUCUUCGCAAGACAUUUAUUUCCACAUUAAAGGCUCUAAUUUUCCUCCCACAGAAACCUGCUCUCUUGUAGCCCUUAUUUUCAAGGUUGUGGAAUUAAAUACUUCUCUUUUUUAAGAGUUUGUAUUAAAGGAUGCUCUCCACUUUGCUUUGGACAUCAGGAGUUCAACAGCUGUACAGAUGCACAUGCCCAAACCAAAAUAAAUUGACUCCCUCCCCCUGUAUGUCAGAUUUAAAAGGUUAGUGCUUUCUCCCCAUGCCCCACACCUAUGUUACUUAAGUAAGUUUGGUUACUUAAAGGUCUCCUUGCAGGGGUGGGGAACA